UACGAAGGGGGCUAGCGUUGUUCGGAAUUACUGGGCGUAAAGCGUGCGCAGGCGGCUUCCCAAGUCAGUGGUGAAAGCCCGGAGCUCAACUCCGGAAAUGCCAUUGAAACUGUGAAGCUCGAGAACGAGAGAGGUGAGUGGAAUUCCCAGUGUAGAGGUGAAAUUCGUAGAUAUCAGGAGGAACACCGGUGGCGAAGGCGGAUCUCUGGGCCAUUACUGACGCUGAGGAGCGAAAGCGUGGGGAGCGAACAGG
This 253-nucleotide ribosomal RNA is filed under the name uncultured bacterium. RNAcentral describes it as "partial 16S ribosomal RNA". It matches the Rfam family "Bacterial small subunit ribosomal RNA", at positions 524 to 776 of the family's 1533-position model. The record is from RNAcentral.